RNAcentral lists this transfer RNA (73 nucleotides) under Schistosoma guineensis. RNAcentral's name for it is "tRNA-Thr". It matches the Rfam family "tRNA". Rfam says of the family: Transfer RNA (tRNA) molecules are approximately 80 nucleotides in length. Their secondary structure includes four short double-helical elements and three loops (D, anti-codon, and T loops). Lineage: Eukaryota; Metazoa; Platyhelminthes; Trematoda; Strigeidida; Schistosomatidae. The record is from RNAcentral.
AGCAGGUGUAGUUUAUUUUUAAAAUAUUAGUUUUGUAAACUAAUGAUAGUGUACGUGUGGCACUUAUCUGUUU